GCUCACUUUGGCUGCACAUAUACUAAAACUGGAAUGAUACAGAGAAGAUUAGCAAGGCCCCUGCACAAGGAUGACAUGCAAAUUCAUGAAGUGUUCCAUAUUUUU
Molecule: small nuclear RNA, 105 nt
Filed under: Vombatus ursinus (common wombat)
Lineage: Eukaryota; Metazoa; Chordata; Mammalia; Diprotodontia; Vombatidae
Source: RNAcentral